GCCUGGCCCAUAUUUUCAUUUUUGUACAUUACUCUAUUUUUCUUUCUUUAGAGACACCUUUUCCUUAGCUGGUUUCUUCAGAAAGUAGAGUCUGAGGCAAGGGUUUAUGUGCCACGAUUUUCUUAGGGAGCAUACAUUAAGGACCAGGAGGGAAGGAUAAAUAACGUGAGACAGAAAAGGAGAUAAAACCAAUACAGGUACAAGGAAGUGUAUUGAACUGGCUACCACUAAGGACAGCUGAUUGUUUGAUAUCACAGAGUUAUCUUCAAUGAAGCCAUGUAAAAAAUGUCUCAAGAAUGUCUCUUUGGGUGAGAAAAGGGGAAGAAUUUAUCCCCUGCUCCCAUAUCUCAUUGGUCAAAGCCUCAUUCUAAUGGGUCCAUUCUCCUGCACGCCCAGAUUGUACAGGUGUGAGGGUUGCUGUGAAUUUCCACGCCUUGUUAUCAAACAGAGAAAUCUCAGAGUAACAGGUGAGAGCGCAUGGGGUGGGAUGAGGCAAAGUGCCAUCUGGUUGUGCCUUCAGGAAGCUGCUUGCUGAGGUGACAGCUGGAACAAGAGACGAGUGAAGCUGAGAGGUCUAAAGUGAUUUCUAUCACCCUUGGUCAGCACUUUGCCAUUGAUCUGCACUGCCUGCCCGGUAAUAUGAUCAAGACCUACAUCACCAAGAGGUCUGAGGUUGUUGGUCAUACGUGGUCACCAAGUGGGAUCCUAUGUCUUUGUGUCAACUGGGAAGCCGCAGGAAGAAGGUAAAGGGUUUACAGUGCAGUUAUGAGGCUAGACAGUGUUAGACCAUGCAGAGCUGGUCAUUGCUGUAGCAGCUGGAACAAGACAAGUGAGGCUGAGAAUAUCUGAAGUGAAACAUAAGUGUUGGAUAUACCUCUCAAAAGCACACUUCCAAAGAAGUGUGACCCAACUGUCUCCAGGAUAUAGAAAUCAAUGAAGCAAUUUCAUUCUUAAUAUGGAGUUUUGCUGGCUCAUAGGACUCCAUCUGCAUGACUCCCUCUCCACAGCCCCUCACUCUGUAGGCAAUCUUGGAAGCCUCCGAGGAUGUCUCGAAAGUGUUUGAGAUUCCUUCUGGGCCUGUACUUUCGGUGACAAUGCCUCUGUAUACAUCCUGUUUCCUACACUGCCAGCCUUGGUCCCUCCAGCCUGAUCCCCUGCUACUGCUGGUGCUCUGCUCUAGAGGCCAGCCUUGCUAAGUGCCUUGGCCAAGAAGCUUACACCUACAAAGAAAGAAAAUGGUGUUCUCUCUUGCAUCAUGCUAUGUCAGGGGAGAGGCCUACUCCUGCAGUGGCGUUGUUUGGGCUCCACGGUGUUACAGACUUUGGUGACACAGCAUUGCCAGUUUUAUUUAUUUAUUUUUCUUCUCUCCAGGGCUAGCAUACAACACAAAGAUAAUUGGGCCAGGGUAGAUUCAAAUAACAGCCUUUGUGCUGAACCAAGGGUCAUUACUCCUUUUGAUCCUUAAGUCCUGUUGCUAAGCCCAGCUUACUGUGCCAGAAUUUUUCUUCCCCCAGGAUAAAUUUUCUCCUAGGAAUUGCACAGCUCUUGCAAUAUAGUAUCUGAUGCAUCUUUCUCCCUCUGAUCUCCUCCAGUUUGCCAAAGGACUUUGUACAAUUUUUUUUUUUCUUGUU
Molecule: non-coding RNA, 1631 nt
Organism: Macaca mulatta (Rhesus monkey)
Lineage: Eukaryota; Metazoa; Chordata; Mammalia; Primates; Cercopithecidae
Source: RefSeq, a predicted model, not a curated record